RNAcentral lists this ribosomal RNA (346 nucleotides) under uncultured bacterium. RNAcentral describes it as "partial 16S ribosomal RNA". It matches the Rfam family "Bacterial small subunit ribosomal RNA", at positions 338 to 682 of the family's 1533-position model. The record is from RNAcentral.
CCUACGGGGGGCAGCAGUGAGGAAUAUUGGUCAAUGGCCGGAAGACUGAACCAGCCAAGCCGCGUGAAGGACGAAGGUGCAAAGCAUUGUAAACUUCUUUUGUCAAGGGACAAAACCAGGCACGAGAGCCUGACCGAGGGUACGUGAAGAAAAAGCAUCGGCUAACUCCGUGCCAGCAGCCGCGGUAAUACGGGGGAGGCGAGCGUUCUCCGGAUGUAUUGGGGUUAAGGGGUGCGUAGGCGGACUGUUAAGGCAGCGGGAAAAGCCCGGGGCUCACCCCCGGCGCGCCGUUGAAACUGGCUGUCUCGAGUUGUCGCGACGUAUCCGGAAUGCGCCGUGUAGCGGU